RNAcentral lists this ribosomal RNA (301 nucleotides) under uncultured bacterium. RNAcentral describes it as "partial 16S ribosomal RNA". It matches the Rfam family "Bacterial small subunit ribosomal RNA", at positions 509 to 807 of the family's 1533-position model. The record is from RNAcentral.
CAGUCGCCGCGGUAAUACGUAGGUGGCAAGCGUUGUCCGGAAUUAUUGGGCGUAAAGGGCUCGCAGGCGGUUUCUUAAGUCUGAUGUGAAAGCCCCCGGCUCAACCGGGGAGGGUCAUUGGAAACUGGGAAACUUGAGUGCAGAAGAGGAGAGUGGAAUUCCACGUGUAGCGGUGAAAUGCGUAGAGAUGUGGAGGAACACCAGUGGCGAAGGCGACUCUCUGGUCCAUAACUGACGCUGAGGUGCGAAAGCGUGGGGAGCAAACAGGAUUAGAUACCCCUGUAGUCCCUGUCUCUUAUAC